Molecule: long non-coding RNA, 554 nt
Organism: Calidris pugnax (ruff)
Lineage: Eukaryota; Metazoa; Chordata; Aves; Charadriiformes; Scolopacidae
Exons: 2
Source: RefSeq, a predicted model, not a curated record
CCGGCCCUUUUUACCAAGGGUGGCUUUGGAGUGGUGUUUCUUUUUUUUUUUUUCUUUUUCUUCAUUAGUAUUAUCAUUGUUAAUUUUCAACAGAAAGAGGUGUUACAAGCCCAAAAAUGAGCAAAGCAGGUACCUACCUCGCCCAGGCGUUGUACCAGGAGUGAAGCCCUUCCCCGCAGGGUGUUGUGUUUCCUCACAAACACCCCAAAAACAUGGCUCUGCAGGAACCAGCCCCAUAAAUUCAUCUUCGCUUGUGUGCAAUUCUCUUGCUCUUCUUUCCUUUCCCACCUCCUGGUCUUUCCUGGUCCAUCAGCUGUCUCUGAUGGAAGCAUGGGGCAUCUUUCAAACUUGAAAACAUCCACUGCUUGUCUCCUGCCGAAUUUUUACCAGCAUGUGGAAAAAGAGGCUCUGAGCCAGCUGCGAGGGGAGGGAAAAAGGAGUGGGGGGGAAGAGGAUGCAGACAGAGAAAGGAAAAAUUUUGCUCAUAAAAAUGGUGAUGACGCUGGUUUACAAUCCCCGAUUUCAAUUUGUCAUACGUUCUUUUUCUUCCUCUC